UAUGGCUCAGGACGAACGCUGGCGGCGUGCCUAACACAUGCAAGUCGAGCGGGGACAUUGCGACAGAUAUGAAGUUUCGGAUGGAUUUGAAGAUGUAAUGUUCUAGCGGCGGACGGGUGAGUAACGCGUGAGCAACCUGUCCCUUACAGGGGGAUAACACAGCGAAAGUUGUACUAAUACCGCAUAAGACCACAGAGCGACAUCGCUUAGGGGGUCAAAGGAGCAAUCCGGUAAGGGGUGGGCUCGCGUCCGAUUAGAUAGUUGGUGAGGUAACGGCCCACCAAGUCGACGAUCGGUAGCCGACCUGAGAGGGUGAUCGGCCACAUUGGGACUGAGACACGGCCCAAACUCCUACGGGAGGCAGCAGUGGGGAAUAUUGGGCAAUGGGGGAAACCCUGACCCAGCAACGCCGCGUGAGGGAAGAAGGUUUUCGGAUCGUAAACCUCUGUCCUUGGUGAAGAGGAAGAGACGGUAGCCAAGGAGGAAGCCCCGGCUAGCUACGUGCCAGCCGCAGC
RNAcentral lists this ribosomal RNA (515 nucleotides) under uncultured bacterium. RNAcentral's name for it is "bacterial SSU rRNA". It matches the Rfam family "Bacterial small subunit ribosomal RNA", at positions 18 to 518 of the family's 1533-position model. The record is from RNAcentral.